This 253-nucleotide ribosomal RNA is filed under the name uncultured bacterium. Its description in RNAcentral is "partial 16S ribosomal RNA". It matches the Rfam family "Bacterial small subunit ribosomal RNA", at positions 524 to 776 of the family's 1533-position model. The record is from RNAcentral.
UACGGGGGGAGCAAGCGUUGUUCGGAAUUACUGGGCGUAAAGGGCGCGUAGGCGGCCUUCUAAGUCGAACGUGAAAUCCCCGGGCUCAACCCGGGAACUGCGUCCGAUACUGGAAGGCUUGAAUCCGGGAGAGGGAUGUGGAAUUCCAGGUGUAGCGGUGAAAUGCGUAGAUAUCUGGAGGAACACCGGUGGCGAAGGCGACAUCCUGGACCGGUAUUGACGCUGAGGCGCGAAAGCCAGGGGAGCAAACGGG